This 547-nucleotide ribosomal RNA is filed under the name uncultured bacterium. Its description in RNAcentral is "bacterial SSU rRNA". It matches the Rfam family "Bacterial small subunit ribosomal RNA", at positions 957 to 1509 of the family's 1533-position model. The record is from RNAcentral.
CAACGCGAAAACCUUACCUACCCUUGACAUGGAAGGAAUCCCUGAGAGAUUGGGGAGUGCCCGAAAGGGAACCUUUACACAGGUGCUGCAUGGCUGUCGUCAGCUCGUGUCGUGAGAUGUUGGGUUAAGUCCCGCAACGAGCGCAACCCUUGUCAUUAGUUGCUACGCAAGAGCACUCUAAUGAGACUGCCGGUGACAAACCGGAGGAAGGUGGGGAUGACGUCAAGUCCUCAUGGCCCUUAUGGGUAGGGCUUCACACGUCAUACAAUGGUACAUACAGAGGGCCGCCAACCCGCGAGGGGGAGCUAAUCCCAGAAAGUGUAUCGUAGUCCGGAUUGUAGUCUGCAACUCGACUACAUGAAGUUGGAAUCGCUAGUAAUCGCGGAUCAGCAUGUCGCGGUGAAUACGUUCCCGGGUCUUGUACACACCGCCCGUCACACCAUGGGAGCGGGUUUUACCAGAAGUAGGUAGCUUAACCGCAAGGAGGGCGCUUACCACGGUAGGAUUCGUGACUGGGGUGAAGUCGUAACAAGGUAAGCGUAGCGAG